GUGCAGAGAGAUCAUGAUGACUGGUCCAAAAUUGCGCACAUCCCCACAUAGAGGUUUUACCUAGGCCAUGAGUCCAGAAGCACUUUUUUUCAGUGUCACUUUCAGAUGUUAACAAGUGCCUCACAAACCCACCACCAAUUUCCGGUCGCUGCUAGCUGCUGAUCCUUUUGCAUCAUGUAAACGUUGGGGCAAUUGAUAACGAGUGUUGCUUCAAUUCCUUCUAAGAGCAACUGAAACUCACUGCAGAGAGGAACUUGUUCAGAUGAUCACUCUUUGAGAUUUAGGAAUUGGUGGUUAGCGGGAAAAGAUGUGAAGUCCUCUCCAGAAGAUAAGUUACUGCUUUUGGUUCUUUCUUCUCUUCCUAAUUUGAGAGAGCUUAAAAGAUUCAGCAUAUGACUGCUCCUGCUAUCCUCUCUAGUUGGGGUUGUCAAACUCCCUUCUAUGGUGAGAUAAUGGUUUCAGAGGCAGAGGUGGAAAAUUGGCCCAAGAUUUCCAUUAGAUCUUCAUUGAAAUAUUAGUGUUGGUAAAAGCG
This is a long non-coding RNA of Quercus robur (English oak), 532 nucleotides long. RefSeq lists it as uncharacterized. The transcript has 3 exons. The record is from RefSeq and is a predicted model, not a curated record. NCBI's taxonomy places the organism in Eukaryota, Viridiplantae, Streptophyta, Magnoliopsida, Fagales, Fagaceae.